RNAcentral lists this non-coding RNA (20 nucleotides) under Arabidopsis thaliana (thale cress). The record is from RNAcentral. Lineage: Eukaryota; Viridiplantae; Streptophyta; Magnoliopsida; Brassicales; Brassicaceae.
UGAGAAUGGAUCUGUUUCUC